Molecule: ribosomal RNA, 387 nt
Filed under: Wolbachia pipientis
Lineage: Bacteria; Pseudomonadati; Pseudomonadota; Alphaproteobacteria; Rickettsiales; Anaplasmataceae
Description: bacterial SSU rRNA
Rfam family: Bacterial small subunit ribosomal RNA
Source: RNAcentral
GUCGGUUCGGCCGGAUUUUACACAAGUGUUGCAUGGCUGUCGUCAGCUCGUGUCGUGAGAUGUUGGGUUAAGUCCCGCAACGAGCGCAACCCUCAUCCUUAGUUGCCAUCAGGUAAUGCUGAGUACUUUAAGGAAACUGCCAGUGAUAAGCUGGAGGAAGGUGGGGAUGAUGUCAAGUCAUCAUGGCCUUUAUGGAGUGGGCUACACACGUGCUACAAUGGUGUCUACAAUGGGCUGCAAGGUGCGCAAGCCUAAGCUAAUCCCUAAAAGACAUCUCAGUUCGGAUUGUACUCUGCAACUCGAGUACAUGAAGUUGGAAUCGCUAGUAAUCGUGGAUCAGCAUGCCACGGUGAAUACGUUCUCGGGUCUUGUACACACUGCCCGUCA